Molecule: ribosomal RNA, 397 nt
Filed under: uncultured Roseburia sp.
Lineage: Bacteria; Bacillati; Bacillota; Clostridia; Lachnospirales; Lachnospiraceae
Description: bacterial SSU rRNA
Rfam family: Bacterial small subunit ribosomal RNA
Source: RNAcentral
UGGGGAAUAUUGCACAAUGGGGGAAACCCUGAUGCAGCGACGCCGCGUGAGCGAAGAAGUAUUUCGGUAUGUAAAGCUCUAUCAGCAGGGAAGAAGAAUGACGGUACCUGACUAAGAAGCACCGGCUAAAUACGUGCCAGCAGCCGCGGUAAUACGUAUGGUGCAAGCGUUAUCCGGAUUUACUGGGUGUAAAGGGAGCGCAGGCGGUGCGGCAAGUCUGAUGUGAAAGCCCGGGGCUCAACCCCGGUACUGCAUUGGAAACUGUGAAGCUGGAGUGUCGGAGAGGUAAAGUGGAAUUCCUAGUGUAGCGGUGAAAUGCGUAGAUAUUAGGAAGAACACCAGUGGCGAAGGCGGCUUACUGGACGAUUACUGACGCUGAGGCUCGAAAGCGUGGGGA